GACGAACGCUGGCGGCGUGCUUAACACAUGCAAGUCGAACGGUGAAGCGAGUGCUUGCACUCGUGGAUCAGUGGCGAACGGGUGAGUAACACGUGAGUAACCUGCCCAUCACUCUGGGAUAAGCACUGGAAACGGUGUCUAAUACUGGAUACGACCAACCCUUGCAUGGGGUGUUGGUGGAAAGAUUUAUCGGUGAUGGAUGGACUCGCGGCCUAUCAGCUUGUUGGCGGGGUAAUGGCCCACCAAGGCGACGACGGGUAGCCGGCCUGAGAGGGUGACCGGCCACCCUGGGACUGAGGCACGGCCCAGACUGCUACGGGAGGCAGCAGUGGGGAAUAUUGCACAAUGGGCGAAAGCCUGAUGCAGCGACGCCGCGUGAGGAAUGACGGCCUUCGGGGUGUAAACCUCUUUCAGCAGGGAAGAAGCGAAAGUGACGGUACCUGCAGAAGAAGCACCGGCUAACUACGUG
This 469-nucleotide ribosomal RNA is filed under the name uncultured bacterium. RNAcentral's name for it is "partial 16S ribosomal RNA". It matches the Rfam family "Bacterial small subunit ribosomal RNA", at positions 28 to 507 of the family's 1533-position model. The record is from RNAcentral.